GUCGAACGGAGCUUAGAGAGCUUGCUUUUUAAGCUUAGUGGCGAACGGGUGAGUAACGCGUGAGUAACCUGCCCUAGAGUGGGGGACAACAGUUGGAAACGACUGCUAAUACCGCAUAAGCCCACGGUACCGCAUGGUACUGAGGGAAAAGGAUUUAUUCGCUUUAGGAUGGACUCGCGUCCAAUUAGCUAGUUGGUGAGGUAACGGCCCACCAAGGCGACGAUUGGUAGCCGGACUGAGAGGUUGAACGGCCACAUUGGGACUGAGACACGGCCCAGACUCCUACGGGAGGCAGCAGUGGGGGAUAUUGCACAAUGGGGGAAAUCCUGAUGCAGCGACGCCGCGUGGAGGAAGAAGGUUUUCGGAUUGUAAACUCCUGUCGUUAGGGACGAUAAUGACGGUACCUAACAAGAAAGCACCGGCUAACUACGUGCCAGCAGCCGCGGUAAAACGUAGGGUGCAAGCGUUGUCCGGAAUUACUGGGUGUAAAGGGAGCGCAGGCGGGAAGACAAGUUGGAAGUGAAAACCAUGGGCUCAACCCAUGAAUUGCUUUCAAAACUGUUUUUCUUGAGUAGUGCAGAGGUAGAUGGAAUUCCCGGUGUAGCGGUGGAAUGCGUAGAUAUCGGGAGGAACACCAGUGGCGAAGGCGGUCUACUGGGCACCAACUGACGCUGAGGCUCGAAAGCAUGGGUAGCAAACAGGAUUAGAUACCCUGGUAGUCCAUGCCGUAAACGAUGAUUAUUAGGUGUUGGGGGAUUGACCCCCUCAGUGCCGCAGUUAACACAAUAAGUAAUCCACCUGGGGAGUACGACCGCAAGG
This 819-nucleotide ribosomal RNA is filed under the name uncultured bacterium. RNAcentral describes it as "bacterial SSU rRNA". It matches the Rfam family "Bacterial small subunit ribosomal RNA", at positions 61 to 893 of the family's 1533-position model. The record is from RNAcentral.